Molecule: ribosomal RNA, 253 nt
Filed under: uncultured bacterium
Lineage: Bacteria
Description: partial 16S ribosomal RNA
Rfam family: Bacterial small subunit ribosomal RNA
Source: RNAcentral
UACAGAGGUCCCAAGCGUUGUUCGGAUUCAUUGGGCGUAAAGGGCGCGUAGGCGGCUUGACAAGUCACUUGUGAAAUCUCCGGGCUUAACUCGGAACGGCCAAGUGAAACUGUCAUGCUAGAGUGCAGAAGGGGCAAUCGGAAUUCUUGGUGUAGCGGUGAAAUGCGUAGAUAUCAAGAGGAACACCUGAGGUGAAGACGGGUUGCUGGGCUGACACUGACGCUGAGGCGCGAAAGCCAGGGGAGCAAACGGG